Molecule: ribosomal RNA, 160 nt
Filed under: uncultured bacterium
Lineage: Bacteria
Description: partial 16S ribosomal RNA
Source: RNAcentral
CACGUAGUUAGCCGGUGCUUAUUCUUCAGGUACCGUCAUCCCCCCGGGGUAUUAGCCCAGAAGAUUUCUUCCCUGACAAAAGCAGUUUACAACCCGAAGGCCUUCUUCCUGCACGCGGCAUUGCUGGAUCAGGCUUGCGCCCAUUGUCCAAAAUUCCCCA